RNAcentral lists this ribosomal RNA (489 nucleotides) under Peptostreptococcus sp. canine oral taxon 033. RNAcentral's name for it is "bacterial SSU rRNA". It matches the Rfam family "Bacterial small subunit ribosomal RNA", at positions 9 to 481 of the family's 1533-position model. Lineage: Bacteria; Bacillati; Bacillota; Clostridia; Peptostreptococcales; Peptostreptococcaceae. The record is from RNAcentral.
GAGUUUGAUUCUGGCUCAGGAUGAACGCUGGCGGCGUGCCUAACACAUGCAAGUCGAGCGCGGUUGUGCUUAGUAUUGAGUGUUUUAUUGAUAUAAAACAUUGAAUUCUAUGCACAACUGAGCGGCGGACGGGUGAGUAACGCGUGGGUAACCUGCCCUAUACACAUGGAUAACAUACUGAAAAGUUUACUAAUACAUGAUAAAAUAGUUUUUCGGCAUCGAAGAAUUAUCAAAGUGUUAGCGGUAUAGGAUGGACCCGCGUCUGAUUAGCUAGUUGGUGAGAUAACUGCCCACCAAGGCGACGAUCAGUAGCCGACCUGAGAGGGUGAUCGGCCACAUUGGAACUGAGACACGGUCCAAACUCCUACGGGAGGCAGCAGUGGGGAAUAUUGCACAAUGGGCGCAAGCCUGAUGCAGCAACGCCGCGUGAACGAUGAAGGUCUUCGGAUCGUAAAGUUCUGUUGCAGGGGAAGAUAAUGACGUANCCCU